RNAcentral lists this small RNA (179 nucleotides) under Neochlamydia sp. TUME1. RNAcentral's name for it is "P4". The record is from RNAcentral. Lineage: Bacteria; Pseudomonadati; Chlamydiota; Chlamydiia; Parachlamydiales; Parachlamydiaceae. RNAcentral also lists the same sequence under 1 other name.
GAAAUAUUUCCUGAUCGGCUGCUAUUUAAGGUAGCAGGUCAAAGCUUUUUAUAUAAAAUGGUACGCAAUAUAGUAGGCACCUUAGCCUAUGUAGGCAUGGGAAAAAUGCUAGGGUCACAGAUACCUGCUAUAUUAGCAAAUCGUGAUCGAAGACUAGCUGGCAUUACUGCCCCGGCUCA